GUGGGGAAUAUUGGACAAUGGGCGCAAGCCUGAUCCAGCCAUGCCGCGUGAGUGAUGAAGGCCCUAGGGUUGUAAAGCUCUUUCACCGGAGAAGAUAAUGACGGUAUCCGGAGAAGAAGCCCCGGCUAACUUCGUGCCAGCAGCCGCGGUAAUACGAAGGGGGCUAGCGUUGUUCGGAAUUACUGGGCGUAAAGCGCACGUAGGCGGACAUUUAAGUCAGGGGUGAAAUCCCGGGGCUCAACCCCGGAACUGCCUUUGAUACUGGGUGUCUGGAGUAUGGAAGAGGUAAGUGGAAUUCCGAGUGUAGAGGUGAAAUUCGUAGAUAUUCGGAGGAACACCAGUGGCGAAGGCGGCUUACUGGUCCAUUACUGACGCUGAGGUGCGAAAGCGUGGGGAGCAAAUAGGAUUAGAAACCCUAGUAGUCC
This 425-nucleotide ribosomal RNA is filed under the name uncultured bacterium. RNAcentral describes it as "partial 16S ribosomal RNA". It matches the Rfam family "Bacterial small subunit ribosomal RNA", at positions 354 to 796 of the family's 1533-position model. The record is from RNAcentral.